GGCGGCAGGCCUAACACAUGCAAGUCGAACGGUAACAGGAAGCAGCUUGCUGCUUUGCUGACGAGUGGCGGACGGGUGAGUAAUGUCUGGGAAACUGCCUGAUGGAGGGGGAUAACUACUGGAAACGGUGGCUAAUACCGCAUAACGUCGCAAGACCAAAGAGGGGGACCUUCGGGCCUCUUGCCAUCAGAUGUGCCCAGAUGGGAUUAGCUUGUUGGUGAGGUAACGGCUCACCAAGGCGACGAUCCCUAGCUGGUCUGAGAGGAUGACCAGCCACACUGGAACUGAGACACGGUCCAGACUCCUACGGGAGGCAGCAGUGGGGAAUAUUGCACAAUGGGCGCAAGCCUGAUGCAGCCAUGCCGCGUGUAUGAAGAAGGCCUUCGGGUUGUAAAGUACUUUCAGCGGGGAGGAAGGUGUUGUGGUUAAUAACCGCAGCAAUUGACGUUACCCGCAGAAGAAGCACCGGCUAACUCCGUGCCAGCAGCCGCGGUAAUACGGAGGGUGCAAGCGUUAAUCGGAAUUACUGGGCGUAAAGCGCACGCAGGCGGUCUGUCAAGUCGGAUGUGAAAUCCCCGGGCUCAACCUGGGAACUGCAUUCGAAACUGGCAGGCUUGAGUCUUGUAGAGGGGGGUAGAAUUCCAGGUGUAGCGGUGAAAUGCGUAGAGAUCUGGAGGAAUACCGGUGGCGAAGGCGGCCCCCUGGACAAAGACUGACGCUCAGGUGCGAAAGCGUGGGGAGCAAACAGGAUUAGAUACCCUGGUAGUCCACGCCGUAAACGAUGUCUACUUGGAGGUUGUGCCCUUGAGGCGUGGCUUCCGGAGCUAACGCGUUAAGUAGACCGCCUGGGGAGUACGGCCGCAAGGUUAAAACUCAAAUGAAUUGACGGGGGCCCGCACAAGCGGUGGAGCAUGUGGUUUAAUUCGAUGCAACGCGAAGAACCUUACCUGGUCUUGACAUCCACGGAAGAAUUCAGAGAUGGAUUUGUGCCUUCGGGAACCGUGAGACAGGUGCUGCAUGGCUGUCGUCAGCUCGUGUUGUGAAAUGUUGGGUUAAGUCCCGCAACGAGCGCAACCCUUAUCCUUUGUUGCCAGCGGUUAGGCCGGGAACUCAAAGGAGACUGCCAGUGAUAAACUGGAGGAAGGUGGGGAUGACGUCAAGUCAUCAUGGCCCUUACGACCAGGGCUACACACGUGCUACAAUGGCGCAUACAAAGAGAAGCGACCUCGCGAGAGCAAGCGGACCUCAUAAAGUGCGUCGUAGUCCGGAUUGGAGUCUGCAACUCGACUCCAUGAAGUCGGAAUCGCUAGUAAUCGUGGAUCAGAAUGCCACGGUGAAUACGUUCCCGGGCCUUGUACACACCGCCCGUCACACCAUGGGAGUGGGUUGCAAAAGAAGUAGGUAGCUUAACCUUCGGGAGGGCGCUUACCACUUUGUGAUUCAUGACUGGGGUGAAGUCGUAACAAGGUAACCGUAGGGGAACCUGCGGUUGGAUCACCUCCUUACCU
This 1508-nucleotide ribosomal RNA is filed under the name Salmonella enterica subsp. enterica serovar Senftenberg. RNAcentral describes it as "bacterial SSU rRNA". It matches the Rfam family "Bacterial small subunit ribosomal RNA". The record is from RNAcentral. Lineage: Bacteria; Pseudomonadati; Pseudomonadota; Gammaproteobacteria; Enterobacterales; Enterobacteriaceae.